GACAGCAGUCGCCACGGUAAAACGGAGGGUGCAAGCGUUAUCCGGAUUUAUUGGGUUUAAAGGGUCCGUAGGCGGACUUAUAAGUCAGUGGUGAAAGCCUGUCGCUUAACGAUAGAACUGCCAUUGAUACUGUAAGUCUUGAGUAUAUUUGAGGUAGCUGGAAUAAGUAGUGUAGCGGUGAAAUGCAUAGAUAUUACUUAGAACACCAAUUGCGAAGGCAGGUUACCAAGAUAUAACUGACGCUGAGGGACGAAAGCGUGGGUAGCGAACAGGAUUAGAUACCCCGGUAGUUCCUGUCUCUUAUAC
This 306-nucleotide ribosomal RNA is filed under the name uncultured bacterium. RNAcentral's name for it is "partial 16S ribosomal RNA". It matches the Rfam family "Bacterial small subunit ribosomal RNA", at positions 507 to 807 of the family's 1533-position model. The record is from RNAcentral.